GACGAACGCUGGCGGCGUGCCUAACACAUGCAAGUGGAGCGACGAACCAGGCUUCGGCCUGGGGCAAAGCCGCGAACGGGUGAGUAACACGUGGGUAACCUGCCCUGAUGAUUGGGACAACCCGAGGAAACUCGGGCUAAUACCGAAUGUGCCCUCCGGCCUCAAGGCCGCUGGGGAAAGGAGCUUCGGCCUCCGCAUCGGGAUGGGCCCGCGGCCCAUUAGCUUGUUGGUGAGGUAACGGCNCACCAAGGCGACGAUGGGUAGCUGGUCUGAGAGGACGAUCAGCCACACUGGGACUGAGACACGGCCCAGACUCCUACGGGAGGCAGCAGUGGGGAAUCUUGCGCAAUGCGCGAAAGCGUGACGCAGCAACGCCGCGUGGGGAAGAAGGCCU
Molecule: ribosomal RNA, 394 nt
Filed under: uncultured bacterium
Lineage: Bacteria
Description: bacterial SSU rRNA
Rfam family: Bacterial small subunit ribosomal RNA
Source: RNAcentral